Molecule: long non-coding RNA, 2090 nt
Filed under: Triticum aestivum (bread wheat)
Lineage: Eukaryota; Viridiplantae; Streptophyta; Magnoliopsida; Poales; Poaceae
Description: long non-coding RNA (TAES_LNC014645)
Source: RNAcentral
UUGAUUCUGUGCGGAACAGGGACGAUGUGGAGGUUGGAGGAGAUGGGGAGGUGACGGUGAAUGGGAGCAGCGGGACGCUGCGGGGGCGAGCUUUCUACAUGGAUGCCAGCCGCUAUACCGAUGGGAGCGAGGGGCGCCGCCGCCACACCAACGGGAGCGAGGGCCGCCGCCGCCGCUCCUCCUCUGAUGGACAUGCUGCACGGACGCGAGCGCGGGCUGCUGCAGCAGCUCGCCGGACCAUCUCUGACGCAUGCGAGGCCCACGCACUAACGUGAGGUUCUUCUUUACCUUAACACUACUUUGAUUAGAUUUUUCUUUACCUUCACAUCAAACCGUUGGUUGGGUGUAGGAAGCUGCUAAUGGGACCUAAGCAUUGGUUGCUCAUUGCAAUCUGGGUUAACUGAAACACCAAUUUUUCCCACCUGUUCAAUUAGAGGAACCUGCACUUGCGACAACAAAAUUAAUAAUGACAAAAAUGAUGAACAUCAGUCAAAGUUCAUAGGCAGAAUCCUCAUGGUAGAUUUGGGUAAAAACUCACAAAUACAAAAGAGUAACAAAAAAACAAGACUAUACUUGUGCUCCUAAUUUCGCUGUUGGGGGAUUGGAGUAAUUUUUAAAUGCUACUACUAAGAAGGGAGAAUAGUAUCUUGAUUAUUAAGAUUCUUUCUUCGUAUUGUGCUUGGAGUAGGUUGAUUAUAAAUUUUGCAAUCCUGCUCAAUAGGUGCAAGAUGUAUGAUAAUUUUUUCAAUGGAAACUACAGUGAGCUAUCUAUAUCUUCUGGUUAUAAGCGUUCUGGCAUCAUCUACGAUUUUGCUUGUGCACAUGUCAGAGAUUGGUCAUGCUCCUUCACUGUUGAUUUGUAUUCCUCAUAAAGUUCUCCACUGAUGGUGUUAGAUUUUUUGAUUAAAAUGAUAUUAUGGUUGUCAUAUAUUUGGUACUAAGAAGGGACUAUGAUGAUUUUUUAGUUUUACAAGCUCUUAAUAUGGUUAUCAAAAUAUAUUCUAUUACUGAAAUGACCUUUUAAAUGAUGUUAGGAAUCUGCACUUUCCCAUAUAUAUACCACGAGGUACUCCUGAAGUUGCAAGAAAAAUACUACAGAAAAGCUUGUGAACUUUUGGAGGAUGUUUUGAAGACUAACAAUUGAAGAUUUACUACAUUUAAGCACCCUGGUUAAACCCAUGUAUGCCUUUUAGUUUUUCGGGCAAAACCUAAGUAUGCCUUAACAAGGAGAUUUGUAAAUUUGUAUAUUCUUUCUUGUGUACAAGGUAUUGGACCGAUGUAUGCUUCUAUUCUUGUAUUUACUUCUUGCUUGGACACUUGAACUAAUGUAUGGGUGAUGUUUACUGACCAACUUUUAAUCUCCUUUGCAUGUAUUUCUAAGUUUGGAUAAUUUGUUGUUUUUGUUUUUAAUUUCUAAAAAUCCACUUAAUUUGCAAUGUUGCACAAAAAUUAUAUUUUGAGUAACUAAUAUUAGUAAUCAAAAUUACUUGUUCAAACCAGUUAUAGUGAGAGAGAAUAAGUAUCAUUUUGAGGGGCAAUUUUAUUUAACAACAGUUUCAUGUCCAUGCUAACAAAAAAAGAUCUUGCAACUCCAGCAACAUAGACCUAAAUAUAGUUCACUAGAUUUAUCUUUUCUAAAUGUUGAAUUGACCUCACCAUCUCAGUGUAAUAGUAGAUUUACAAUAUUUUUCAUAUUAUAUAAUUGUUGAUUGUGUGAGAUGGAAUUCCACUUGGCAGUGUUGGAGAAGGAUGCGUUGCUAGAAAAGAAGGGAGAGGGCGGGGCGACCAAACAAGAUAGGAGGAGAACCAGGCAAGAUAGUCAACUUCGAUGCGGUGCUUGAGCAGAGCCCAUGGAAUUCUUAUUAGAUCUAGAUGGGUCUCUUUAAUAAGUUGUGGUUAUCUGUAAUGGUGACCUGAAUGUCAUGUACAAACAUAUAUGAUUUAUUAUUAUUUUGACUGGAUAUGGUGUACCAACUCACAUGCAUGCAAACUAAUUCUAUUAGUCAAGAUGUGAUCUACUUAUUCAAUUUUGAAUUUUAACAAAACGUGUGUUACACGUGCACGCUUACUAGUUUUAAUAUAAAAUAAAC